AGUGAACGCUGGCGGUAGGCCUAACACAUGCAAGUCGAACGGCAGCACAGUAAGAGCUUGCUCUUACGGGUGGCGAGUGGCGGACGGGUGAGGAAUACAUCGGAAUCUACUUUUUCGUGGGGGAUAACGUAGGGAAACUUACGCUAAUACCGCAUACGACCUACGGGUGAAAGCAGGGGAUCUUCGGACCUUGCGCGAUUGAAUGAGCCGAUGUCGGACUAGCUGUUGGCGGGGUAAAGGCCCACCAAGGCGACGAUCCGUAGCUGGUCUGAGAGGAUGAUCAGCCACACUGGAACUGAGACACGGUCCAGACUCCUACGGGAGGCAGCAGUGGGGAAUAUUGGACAAUGGGCGCAAGCCUGAUCCAGCCAUACCGCGUGGGUGAAGAAGGCCUUCGGGUUGUAAAGCCCUUUUGUUGGGAAAGAAAAGCAGCAGGUUAAUACCCCGCUGUUCUGACGGUACCCAAAGAAUAAGCACCGGCUAACUUCGUG
This 491-nucleotide ribosomal RNA is filed under the name uncultured bacterium. RNAcentral describes it as "partial 16S ribosomal RNA". It matches the Rfam family "Bacterial small subunit ribosomal RNA", at positions 29 to 507 of the family's 1533-position model. The record is from RNAcentral.